Molecule: long non-coding RNA, 694 nt
Organism: Lynx canadensis (Canada lynx)
Lineage: Eukaryota; Metazoa; Chordata; Mammalia; Carnivora; Felidae
Exons: 5
Source: RefSeq, a predicted model, not a curated record
UUACAUCACAAAUUAGGAAGAACUUGUCUAGAAAUAGCUAAGGUUCUGCUGAGAAGAGGAUUUAACUGGGAAUGUGCUCUUGGAAUUUCUGAAUUUGAAGAAGUAUGAUUGCUGAAAGCAUACCAAGUGUUUAAAAGGACUAACUCAUGAGAUGAUAUGACGCCUGGGCAGCACCAGAAUUGUUAAAAAUGGACUGACAGAAAUGUAUCUGUAGUGACUCUUUUCCUACUUCAGCCUUCAAAGGAACACAGGGCAAAAAUUGCACAAAAGAAACAAACUGCAGCUCUUGAAAUAUAAUACCAGUGGAAAAACAAACAAACAAGCAAAAACCAAAUAAAAUCUCGAGACAAAAACUGGCCUAACCAUGACAACUAGAACUUAAAUAAGAUCUUGCCACACCUUUGCAGCCACCCAUAUCCAGUCUGUAUCCUGGAAAGACUUAUGACUAACCAAAGAGACGGGAGACCAUGAAAAGAGUCAGUCAUGGAUUGGCCUCUAUGCUUGUAAAAUGUUGACCAUCUUUCUGCAAGAAGAAGGCCAGUUGCUACUUCCAGUGAUGGAUGUGUAUGGAAAAGUUCUAAGAGUUAUGCUUCCUCUCCAGGUGAGAAGACGUGGCAAUCUGCAGGGAAAGGAGACUUUGCAUGUGUAAGGCUGAAGAACCUUUACCAGGUAUGUGCACCUGCCUCUCUAACUC